UCCGGUGUAGCUCAAUGGUAGAGCAGCGCGCUGUUAACGCGUUGGUUGUAGGUUCGAAUCCUACCGCCGGAG
This 72-nucleotide transfer RNA is filed under the name bacterium. Its description in RNAcentral is "tRNA-Asn". It matches the Rfam family "tRNA". From Rfam's summary of the family: Transfer RNA (tRNA) molecules are approximately 80 nucleotides in length. Their secondary structure includes four short double-helical elements and three loops (D, anti-codon, and T loops). Further hydrogen bonds mediate the characteristic L-shaped molecular structure. tRNAs have two regions of fundamental functional importance: the anti-codon, which is responsible for specific mRNA codon recognition, and the 3' end, to which the tRNAs corresponding amino acid is attached (by aminoacyl-tRNA synthetases). tRNAs cope with the degeneracy of the genetic code in two manners: having more than one tRNA (with a specific anti-codon) for a particular amino acid; and 'wobble' base-pairing, i.e. permitting non-standard base-pairing at the 3rd anti-codon position. The record is from RNAcentral.